RNAcentral lists this long non-coding RNA (1110 nucleotides) under Oryza sativa tropical japonica subgroup. Its description in RNAcentral is "lncRNA OsCMeo_10g0001930". Lineage: Eukaryota; Viridiplantae; Streptophyta; Magnoliopsida; Poales; Poaceae. The record is from RNAcentral.
CGCCACAAAACCAAUAAGGUACGGCGUCAACGCUGCGGGCGAAGAGGUUUCGCCACACGCCACGCCCUUCGCCAUAGUACCAAUAAGGCACGGCGUCAAGGGCUGCGGGCGAACAGGUUUCGUCCGCCGACGCCCUUCGCCAUAGUUUCGCCCGCCCACGCCGUUCGCCAUAGUGCCAAUAAGGCAUGGCGUCAAGGGCUACGGGCGAAUAGGUUUCGCCCACCCACGCCCUUCGCCAUAGUACCAAAAAGGCACGGCGUCAAGGGCUGCGGGCGAAUAGGUUUCGCCACACGCCACGCCCUUCGCCAUAGUACCAAUAAGGCACGGCGUCAAGGGUUGCGGGCGAACAGGUUUCGCCUGCCGACGCCCUUCGCCAUAGUGCCAAUAAGGCACAGCGUUUCGCCCGCCCACGCCCUUCGUCAUAGUGCCAAUAAGGCACGGCGUCAAGGGCUGCGGGCGAAUAGGUUUCGCCCACCCACGCCCUUCGCCAUAGUACCAAUAACGUACGGCGUCAAGGGCUGCGGGCGACUAGGUUUCGCCACACGCCACGCCCUUCGCCAUAGUGCCAAUAAGGCACAGCGUCAAGGGCUGCGGGGGAACAGGUUUCGCCCGCCCACGCCCUUCGCCAUAGAACCAAUAAGGCACGGCGUCAAGGGCUACGGGCGAACAGGUACGGCGUCAAGGGCUGCGGGCGAACAGGUUUCGCCCACCCACGCCCUUCGCCAUAGUACCAAUAAGCUAUGGCGUCAAGGGCUAUGGCCGAGGAGACCUUUCGCCACACCCACACCCUUCGCCACAAUACCAAUAAGGUACGGCGUCAAGGGCUGGGGGCGAAUAAGUUUCGCCACACCCAGGCCCUUCGCCACAAUUCCAAUAAGGCACGGCGUCAAGGGCUGCGGGCGACUAGGUUUCGCCACACGCUACGCCCUUCGCCACAAUACCAAUAAGGUACGGCGUCAAGGGCUGGGGGCGAAUAGAUUCCGCCACACCUAUACCCUUCGCCACAAUACCAUUAAGGUGCGGCGUCAAGGGCUGCGGGCGAACAGGUUUCGCUCACCCACGCCCUUCGCCAUAGUGCCAAUAAGGUAUGGCGUCAAGGGCUGGGGGUGA